Molecule: ribozyme, 111 nt
Filed under: Aedes aegypti (yellow fever mosquito)
Lineage: Eukaryota; Metazoa; Arthropoda; Insecta; Diptera; Culicidae
Description: drz-agam-1 ribozyme
Rfam family: drz-agam-1 ribozyme
Source: Rfam by way of RNAcentral
UGCCAAGCAACUCCUACCUCCUCGUGGUACUGGCCGGGGUACGAGUAACCUUGGGGAAGAUCGGGUAACCAACCCCCGGUGGGAAAUUUGGUCGUAUGCUGACAGGGAAGG